Molecule: long non-coding RNA, 551 nt
Organism: Saccostrea cuccullata (small rock oyster)
Lineage: Eukaryota; Metazoa; Mollusca; Bivalvia; Ostreida; Ostreidae
Exons: 2
Source: RefSeq, a predicted model, not a curated record
CAAAGGUGGUGAUUUAUAACUUAUGUCAGCCUUUCGAUUUAUGUGGCGGAUAGUUCUUACUGAUCAGCAUCGGCUUAGUGAUGUUGACUAAUGGCUUUUGCAGUCGCACAAUGGGUGCUUUUAUUGGCUUACGGCAAUUCGGGAAAUACAGAUCUGUUCCAAAACACUUUUGGUUCUACUAUUUACUCUAUUUCCGGAAAAUUUUUGUCAACAACUGUAGGUGAUACAGGGUGUUUUAUCGAAAAGCGGCAGAAUCAAUGAAGUGAAAAAUUAAUUGUAUAUAUUUACCAGCAUUAUGCCAGGCAAAAGGAAUAAAGCCCAACAGUCCAAAACAAGUCAGGUGAAAAGACCACGUCGUGCACAGAACGGAACUGGAGAGUCCACUACCAAUGAUGCUGUGGCUGUCGAUACAAGCACUCAACCCCUUGAUGUUCCUCCUGAAACCUUGGCUGCAUUAACCCAAACCAUAACAAAGGCAGUCACGGAGAAGGUGUUAGCAGAGAUAAAACCAUUACUGCAACAUCAGGGGAGUAUCUCUGUUCAUAAUAUGG